RNAcentral lists this non-coding RNA (31 nucleotides) under Mus musculus (house mouse). The record is from RNAcentral. Lineage: Eukaryota; Metazoa; Chordata; Mammalia; Rodentia; Muridae.
UACCUUUACCUCCAAUCUGAGGUUGAACGGU